This is a long non-coding RNA of Oncorhynchus tshawytscha (Chinook salmon), 1126 nucleotides long. NCBI's taxonomy places the organism in Eukaryota, Metazoa, Chordata, Actinopteri, Salmoniformes, Salmonidae. The record is from Ensembl.
GCACAGAGUCAAUUUUGUAUUUAAUUUCAUCAAUGUACUUUUACUGCACAAAACUAUACCUGUGGCAAGUAGAAUAACUUUUCUCACUAUGGUAACACUUUACAUUUUCUGUAAAUCUGGUACCCUCCCUUUUGAUAAAAUUAAUUUUUGAAUACUUUGGAGAAGGUUUAACAUUACAUACAUCUUCAGUACUUCAUAUCAAUUAAACAUGAAUUAAGGCACUAUAAUUUCCUCAUUAUAAAACACCAGCAUCAAACAACAGGACAAGGUUGUCACUUUUCAUCAGUGAAGCAUUUUUACAGACACCAACCACUACAUAUCAUCUACUCUGCCUCAUCAUACUCAUUCUUUCUUCAGUUCACCUCAUCCAGUUCCAAAUAUAGUACCACAGUAUGAGUCAUAAUACCCAUAUAACCUAGCGGUCAAACAAGUACAUUUUUCCAGUUGUUUUUCCACCAUUCAUUUUCCCCAUAGGGGAUAUAAGAAACACUACAAAUAAGGGCUGUGUUUCGUGUAGACUUACCCUGACGUGACGUUUUGAUAACUGUAAAUCUCUCUAGGACAAGGUGACUUAAUAUUUUUGCCAGUAUUUAACCCCCAAAAUAAAUUGCUAAUGUGGCUAUCAUAAAGAACUACAAAUACCAUGAUGAUCUGGACGAGACUGCUGAAUUGAGGCAAAGCAGAUCAGGCUUCACAUCCUCCAAGUCUACUGACUGUAAGAGGUACAGAGUGAGAUGUUGGAUCAAGAAAUCUGAUAUGAGCACCCUGCUAUGGAGCAUCUUCUCAUUGGACAAUGGGAAAAAAAAGGUAAGGGCAUGGAUCAGAAAACCAGUCCGUAUCUGGUGUGACUACCAUUUGCCUCAUGCAGUUUAUACAUCUCCUUCGCAUAGAGUUGAUCAGACUGUUUAUUGUGGCCUGUGGAAGGUUGUUCCACUCCUCUUCAAAUACUGUCCGAAGUUGCUGGAUAUUGGCGGGAACUGGAACACGGGCACAUCGUGCACCACUCCCUAGCAUUCUUCUUGCCAAUGUCCAGUCUCUUGACAACAAGGUUGAUGAAAUCCGAGCAAGGGUAGCAUUCCAGAGGGACAUCAGAGACUGUAACGUUCUCUGCUUCACGGAAACAUGG